Danio aesculapii is the source of this 666-nucleotide long non-coding RNA. RefSeq lists it as uncharacterized. The record is from RefSeq and is a predicted model, not a curated record. NCBI's taxonomy places the organism in Eukaryota, Metazoa, Chordata, Actinopteri, Cypriniformes, Danionidae. The transcript is spliced from 7 exons.
UUCACCAAUCAGCGUUAGGGUUCUCUGUAUAAAAGAUAACGUCACGUUUUCAGCUUCCUCCUUUUCAACUGCUUGCUACACGUACGAAGAUGUUAACGUUGCCUGAAGGGGAAGUUUCGUUUAACCACGGAGUUCCACCGCAAAUCACUACUUUCUGUCCAGAGGUUGGAUGAUGCAGAAGCUAGAUGUGUCGACCUGAAUGAAACUCCAUGAUCUUCUGGAUAUAGGCUGAAUGAACAACCUUGCAGGUUAAAUUUAUGCAGAACAAGCUGAAUGUUUUGACCAGGACCUCCUCCAUGGGCUGAAUGAACCAACAUGAAAGCCAGAUGCAGACAGUGCAGUGCUUUCAUGAAGCGAUAGUGGGCCACUGUUCUGGUGCUGGUGAGCUGUAGGACUGGUUGUACAGUGUGCUUAAAAGACGUAGGUGCUUGAAUGCUCUUGGCCUGUGCUUGCAGUUUGCUCAAGUUUAACUGUUUACAUGUGCAACUUGACUUUUUUUAUUAAGCAUUUAAUUUUAAAUAAAAGCCAUUUUGCAACAAUUCUAAUGUAUUUGCAAGUGAUACUGAAGUAACAAGUUUAAUCUGUACAACCACUGUGUAAUUGGUGUCUUCACAACAUAAAAUCCAACCUAAUUAACAAUAAAAGUACAUGACUAACUGCUGUAAA